This is a long non-coding RNA of Neofelis nebulosa (Clouded leopard), 7754 nucleotides long. RefSeq lists it as uncharacterized. The record is from RefSeq and is a predicted model, not a curated record. The transcript has 2 exons. Lineage: Eukaryota; Metazoa; Chordata; Mammalia; Carnivora; Felidae.
GAGAGUGAACCAUUGUGGGGGAUCCAUUUACCAUACAAAAGGGUUGCUUAGAGGUGCAAAGAGGCCUCAGAAGAGGAUAGUCCAAAGUGGAUCUCUGGAUUCCUUGAAAGCUAAGAAGAAAGAAAACCCACAAGAAUGGAUUGCAUUAACUCAGGUCAGGGGAGUUGCAGGUGAAGACAGCUAUGAGUACAGGAAUGCCCCUGAGAAAAAGUCAACUUUAAAAUAAUUGCGGGGCGGGGGAUGCCUGGGUGACUCAGUCGGUUAAGUGUCCACCUUUGGCUCAGGUCAUGAUCUCACAGCUUGCGAAUUCGAGCUCCGUGUCUGGCCCUGUGCUGACAGCUCAGAGCCUGGAGCCUGGUUUGGAUUCUGUGUCUCCCUCUCUGCCCUUUCCCUGCUCAUGCUCUGUCUGUCUGUCUGUCUGUCUCUCUCUCUCUCUCUCUCUCUGUCAAAAAUAAGUAAACAUUAAAAAAAAUUUUUUUUAAAUAAUUGCUUGGGUGCCUGGCUGGCUUAUCAGGUAGAAUAUGUGACUCCCUCUCUCUUUUUUUUUAAUGUUCAUUUAUUUUGAGAGACAGAGAGUGUGUGCAUAUGUGUGAGUGAGGGAGGGGCAGAGAGAGCUGGAGAGAGAAUCCCAAACAGGGAUUAUCCGUGCUGUCAGCAGAGAGCCCUACUCAGGGUUCAAUCCCAUGGACCAUGAAAUCAUGACCUAAGCAAAAUCAAGAGUCAGACACUCAGUCAACUGAGCCACCCAGGUGCUCCUAGAGCAUGUGACUUGAUUUCAGGGGUCAUGAGUUCGGGCCCCACGUUGGAUAUGGAGUUACUAAAACAAACAAACAAAACACACACACACCAAAACCGUAAAAUAAAUGAAUGAAUGAAUGCCCAAUCCAGCAUGCUCAAAACCAUCUUACGAAGUGUCAGCCAGAUAACCACCACUUACAGUUGACCCUGCAAGGUCAGACCAUAGUUAACCAGCUGAGAGAGGAGGGAUGGAAUUAGGCAGGAAAGAAGAAAAGGACUAUGCCAGCCUUCUACCCCUACUGCAGGUGGUUAGCCUGUAGCCUGGCCUGGCUGAUUAAAGUUUGACUUGCGGUGAUUUUCUAAUUUUACAGGGUUGGCUGGACAUUCUGUUUCAGUGCUUUGUGAGUUAAAACAACUCUAUGGAUGUUUCAUUACUUGAAAGAUUUUUCAACCUGGAUUGGGAGAAAAAUACCUGAAUAUUUGCUAGUGGGAGGUGAUGUUGCCAUCUGAUUAUAUCCCAUGAGUCCAAAAUAGUGGUUACAUAUAAUAAGAUUUCGGGGGCGCUUGCAUGGCUCAGUCAGAAGAGUGUGUGACUCUUGAUCUCAGGGUUGUGAGUUCCAAGUCCCACAUUAGGUAUAGAAAUUACUAAAAAAAAUUUUAAAGAUAAAAGAUUUUUGUUUAAACGCUUUUUUUUUUUAUGGCUACAAUUCCAUUCGUGUGAUUUCUCAAAAUCUGAAAUAGUUAUAUUACAAUUGUGUGUAGAAUAUGUAUGUGAAUAUGUCAUUUUUAACUUUUUUAAUGUUUUGUUUAUUUUUGAGACAGACAGAGACAGAGCAUGAGCAGGGGAGGGGCAGAGAGAGGGAGACACAGAAUGUGAAGCAGGCUCCAGGCUCUAAGCUGUCAGCACAGAGCCCGACGCGGGGCUCGAACUCACAGACUGUGAGAUCAUGACCUGAGCUGAAGUCGGACGCUUAACCGACUGAGCCACCCAGGUGCCCCCAGUCACCUUUAACUUUUUAAACAAAACUUGUAUUAUCUUGGUAUUUUUAUAUGAUUUUUCUAAUGUACUUUUUAUAGCUUACUAUUGUUUUCCCUUAAAAUUCCUAAUUUAGAAUUCCCCUAAUUUGGUCGUUAUUUCCCCCUAUUUGUUAUCAAAAUUCUAUUGUUUUGGGAUGCCUGGGUGGCUCAGUUGUUUCGAUGUCCGACUUUGGCUCAGGUCAUGAUCUCACACUUCAUGAGUUCAAGCCCCACAUUGGGAGCCUACUUGAAAUUCUCUCUCUCUCUCUCUCUCUCUCUCUCUCUCUCUCUCCCUCUCCCUCUCCCUCUCCCUCUCUUUCCCUCUCUUUCUAUGCCUCUUUCCCAUGUGCUCAGUCACUCUCAAAAUAAAUAAAUAAACUUAAAAAAUAAAUAAACCUUAAAAAAUUAAUACUGGGUUUAUUUUGUUUAUUUUUGAGAGAGAAAACAUGAGUGAGUAGGGGAGAGGCACAGAGAGGACAGAGUAUCUGAAGUGGGCUCUGCACUAACAGCAAUGAGCCUCAUGUGGGGCUUGAACUCACGAACUGUGAGAUCAUGACCUAAGCCAAAGUUGGACGCCCAACCGACUGAGACACCCAGGCGCCCCAAAAUGAGUACUUUCGAUAUUGAAAGAGCUAAUCCAAGGAUUUACCAGAAUUAUUUACUUAUUUUAUUGCUAAAUUAAUAAGACAAGAAAAGUCGUUUCUGAUGACUACUUUUAGUUGGUCACAGCUCUUAUUUCCCCCUUUACUCUGUUGCUAACAUUCUAUGAUUAUGUUAAAAUUCAGGAAUUACCUUGUGGUGUCCUUCUUUGCUCUCCCUUUCAUACUGGUAAACUCUAAGGUUAUUUCCUUGGUCCUCUGAUCUUCUCUCCAUAUUCUUCUAUCUGUAUGCUGGUGAUUUCAUAGUCUUUCUUUCUCUCCAGCCCUUCUAUUAAGGUAUAUGUCCAGCUGUUUUCGCGGUUUCUCCAGAGCAUUACAUGUGUACUUUGGCAACAAACUGUUCUCUAAUUGUUUCUCGGUUGACAUCCUGCCACCUGAUGGUGAGCUCUAGGAAGCAAUCUUGAACAUGUUAUCUCUAGGACUAAUAGAAGUGCUUUUUAGGUAGUCAGCUAAUAAGUUUUCAGUGAAUGAAAGAAUAAUAGGCAUUCAUAGGUUUGUUAUCCUAAUUAUCUCACCAUUGGGCAGAGCACUGGAAUAGAUGGAUUAAACUCUCCCUAGAAGGUUAAAUAAUGCUAUAGAGACUAUUAGGUGAUUUUCAUUUCUGAAAAUAUCCUAGUGAGUACAACAGUAAAGGAGAUACCUUUUAAGUGACUGGAACGUAUUAUAGAGGAAUAUCUGAUUUCUUCUUAGAAGAUAAAGAAUGCAAGGUAGGAUUGUGUGCCAGGCUUAUAAAGUGUCUGACACACAAAAGGACCCAUCAAAUGAAAAGAUUAAGACCUCUAGCAUGAAAUUCUUUAAGGUGUUCUGGAUUGGUUUCAUAGAAUAUGUGCUUUAUCUUUGAUCAACUAAUUGCUACCAUUCAUGUUCUAAAUUAAAUGUCUUACAUACAUUUGUUACUAUUAAUGAAAGUCUCUUAAAAUUCAACCUCAGGAGACAAUUUUGUGAAUUUUUCAUAUAUCUAUUUGUAGUGCUGGGAGAUUCCAGACUUAAUUUUAAAAUUAGAGAUGGACUUAAUAGAGAAUGGGGCAGAUGGAGAGGCAGGUGGAUCAAACUUUAAAUAUUUAAAAUUAAAUGUUUAAAUUAAGUAUUAACAUUAAAUAUUUAAAAGCCGUUAACUAUUUAAAGACUUCCUGUAGUCCUUAAUCAGAUCCAUGCCGAAUUCUCUACUCCCCAAACUUGCACAAGUAAAAGCCACAGUUUCCAUUAAUUAUGUGUUAUGACCAUGUAAAGUGGGUUACUGUGUUUUCCCUUAGGAAGAAUGUAUUCAAGCUGUGUUUUGUGGGGCUUCUGGGUGGCUCAGUCGGUUAAGCAUCUGACUUAGGCUGUGGUCAUGAUCUCACAGUUCGUGGGUUUGAGCCCCGCGUCGGGCUUCAUGCUGACAGCUUAGAGCCUGGAGCCUGCUUCAGAUUCUGUGUCUCCCUCUCUGCCCCUCCCCUGCUCUGUGUUCUGUCUGUCUCUCUCAAAAAUAAAUAAACAUUAAAAAAACAAAAACCUGUGUCUUGUUUACUGCACACCUCUAAUGGAGUUUCUAAGUUGAAUUUUACCAUUAGUAAUCAGAUGCAGUCUUUUAUUGGAGUUAAAAAUAAUGAAAUAGAUUAUUUGAUGUUGCAAAAAAGUGAAAAAUCUGUUUCCCAUUUUCCAGAUUCCUUGUUUCUCUUCUUAUAUUGUCUUGUGAACUUACCAAGUGGUCAGAUCAAAUCAGGAUGUUUUUGUGAAAAGAUGGGCAUCUCCUGAGUAGGUCCUGGAUUUAAAUAGCAGUGGUUACAAUUCAAAGAAAGAAUAUAUCUCCUGGACUCUGAAGGAAACAGAUGUAUAGUGCUAGUCUCUCUGUAGCUGCCAUCUUACUAUGUUUAAGUGGAUACAUUUCACUUAAAUGUGCUUAUCAUUCACCUUUCAUUUUUUCUGCAGAGCAGAAAGGAUUUAAGGCCCUCCCCUUAAGUUUUGCUACUCUUCACAGUCCUGAAAGCAUGUUAAAGACCAGCUGUUCUUAAGCCUGAGAUGUUAGUUAUGUCUGUGUAACUCCUAGAAAUUAUGAACUAGGUGAUGACAAAGACAGAGUUGGAAGAAGAUGGAAGAAAAUGAGACAAAAUAUAAAGGUAACUGGAGAAGUUGGUUGCUAAAGGUUUUUCAGGAAGAACAAAAAGUCUUCUUUUUAUGUUAUUUUCAAAUAAUCUUGGUUAUCUGCAAGAAGCUGUCAUGGUUGUAAGUCAAAACUAUGAAAUGACAGUGAUAAGAAAUUUGUGAUUGAAGCAAGGUGAACCCUGGCAUAAAAUUUUCACGGAUCGGGAGAGCACAGCACCCACCAGGUAGAAUGGCAAGUUGCCAGUAUUAGCUCUGCUAUGACAAAGGUUCAAUUUUGAAAAUUUUUAAUUUUGGGGAUGGCUGAGUGGCUCAGUGGGUUAAGCGUCUGACUUCAGUUCAGGUCAUGAUCUUGUGGUGAGUUCGAGCCCCACAUCAGGCUAUGUGCUGACAGCUCAGAGCCUGGGGCCUGCUUCAAAUCCCAGGUCUCCCUGUCUCUCUCUGCCCCUCCCCCACUUGUGCUCUUGCUCUUUCUCUCUCAAAGAUAAACAUUAAAAAAAUUUUAAAUUCUUAAUUUUGAUGAAAAAUCAUGUUUCAUACUGUUAUAGCAGAAAAAGACUUCAGAGUUUAUACAGAUUCCAUAGGGGAGAAGUGUGGGGAAAAAAAACAGAAGACCAAGGUGAAAAUUUAAAUUGCAUUCCUAAUCUGAGAUUUUUUUUUUUAAGAUUUUUAAAGUUUAUUUUAUUUAUUUAUUUUGAGAGAGAGAGAGAGAGAGCACAGGGGAGCGGUGGAGAGAGAGGGAGAGAGGGAAUUCCAAGUCUCUGUGCUGUCAGCACAGAGUCCAGCAUGGGACAUGAACUCAUAAACUAUGAGAUCGUGACCUAAACCUAAAUCAAGAGUCAGACACUUAACAGACUGAAAACCAGGUGCCCCCUGCUAAUCUGAGUUUCAAUCUUUGAAAGUUACAAAUAAAAGAUACGGGGGCACCUGGGUGGCUCAGUUGGUUGAGCAUCUGACUUCAGCUCAGGUCAUGAUCUUGUGUUUUGUGAGUUCAAGCCCCACAUUGGGCUCUGUGCUGUUAGCACAGAGCCUAUUUUGGAUCCUCUGUCUCCCUUUGUCUCUGUCCCUCCCCUGCUUAUGCUCUCUCAAAAAAUAAAUUAAAAAAAGAAGAAGAAGAAGAGUUACAAAUAUCCCCUUCUGCCUAAGGAAUCUCAGUCACAGAUGGUGUCUGCUCUGGAUAGGUGAGGAAUAUGGCUAGAGGGGGUACAAAGAUGGUGAAAAAAUUCUCUAGUCAUAAACUGCUUUCGUAAGCAGAAAUUUUCCUAGAAGGGAUUAAAGAGAUGUGCGGUAUGUUGCGUACACCCUGGGACAAAGACUUGGUCUUAGCACUGACAGCCCUGUGGCCCAAGAAUCCCCCAGUCCUAAGCACACUGGAGAACCCACUUGAGUUCUGGAGGUCAGAGGUCUGAAAAUCCCACUAAAGCCAAGCUGUUGGCAAGGCUGCAUUCCUUUCUGAAGGUUCUAGAGAAGAAUCCAUGUUCUUGUCUUUUCCAACUUCUAGAGGAUUCCUAGGCUUAUGGCCCCCUUCCAUCUUCAGAGCCAGUAAUGGCCUGUCGAGUCUUUCUCACACCAUUCUGACACUUCCAUUUCCCUCUUCCUCAUUUAAAGGACCCUUGUGAUUACAUUGGACCUGCCUGGAUAAUCCAGCGUAAUCAUUUUAGCAACUUAUUAGCAAACUUAAUUCCAUCUGCAACCUUAAUAGCCUUGCUUGCCAUGGUAUCAACAUUCACAGGCUCCAAUAAUUAGGAUGUGGACAUCUUUGGCAACCAUUACUCUACUUACAACCACACUCCCCUUUUUCCUUCAUAGAGAUUUCCCUAGUAAAUCUCUUUCACAUCUAGUCCUGCCUAAGCAUCUGCUUAUUUGAGGACUCCAUGAACACAAGUGGUGCUGGGAGUGGUCUGAGGAAACAGGUUUUGAGACUGCCUUACAGCCAAAACAACACCAUUGUGAGUGGCACAUGGGGCAUGAGUAUUCCCUAGCACAAAGCAGUUGUGACCUUGAAAAAAAUUCCAGGUACAGGAACUUUGAAAGAUAUGGAUGGAACAUAUCUAUAAAAUGGUAGACCCACUUCUCUAAGUAUAUAUAUACCAAGAGAAAUGAAAACAUGCAUCCACACAAAUGUUCACAGCUACGUUGUUCAUAAUAGCAAAAAAGUGGGAACAGCUUAAAUGUUCAAGUGAAAAAUGGAUAAACAAAAUGUGGCAUAUCCAUAAAAUGGAAUGUGAUUUGGCCAUAAAAAGGAACCAAGUACUAAUAAAUGCUGCAGCAUGGAUAUAGUGGGUUGAAAGGUGUCCUUCCAAAAGAUAUGUCCAUGUCCUCACUCCUGGAAGCUGUGAAUGUGACCUUUGGAAAAAAGGUCUUUGUAAAUGUACUUAUGGAUUUUGAGAUAGAUCAUCCUGGAUUAUCUGGUUGGCUAUAAAUUCAGUGACAUAUCCUUACAAAAGACGCAGAGGAAAGACAGAGAAAACAGGAGAAAACCAUGUGAAGACAGGUAGAGGUUACACUGACGCCCCACAUCAGAAACUGGAAGAGGCAAGGAAGGAUUCUAUACUAGAUGUUUUCGACAAAGUAUGGCAGUGCAGACACCAUGAUUUCAGAAUACUGGCUUCUAGAACUGUGAGAAUAAAUUUCUGUUCUUUUAAGCCACCAAGUUUGUGUUAUUUAUGAUAAUUAGUUGCAGCAGCUCUAGGAAACUAAUAUAACGGAUAUAACUGAAAACAUUUUGCUAAGUGAAAAAAAGCCAGUCAUAAAAGACAACAUAUGAUUCAUUUUUUAAUUUUUAUUUUCUUAUACUUUUUUAAGACUUUUUUUUUUUUUUUGAGAAGGAGAGCAAGCAGGGCAGCGACAGAGCGGGGGUGGGGGGACAGAGGAUCAGAAGCGGGCUCCAUGCAGACAGCAGAGAGCCCGAUGAGGGGCUCGAACUCACAAACCAUGAGAUCGUGACCCAAGCCAAAGUUGGACACUUCACUGACUGAACAAUCCAGGCCACUCUUUAAUUCCAUGUAUAUGAAAUGUCCAAAAGAGGAAAAUCUAUCAAGACAAACAAUAGGUUAGUGGUUACCCAGGGCCAAAGGGUUGGAAGGAAAUGGAGAGUAACUCCUAGUGGGUAUAGGGUUCCUUUCUGGGGUAAUGAAAAUGUCAAAAUUGAUCGUGCUGAUAGCGCCCCAAUUCUGUGAAUUUCUAAACAAUUGAAUUGUCCACUUUAAACAGGCAAAUUAUAUAUGAAUUAUGUUUCAAUAAAGCUGUUUUAAAAAGCUA